GUAAGAAAGACAUCAAGGCCCUGGAGCAUGUCCAGAGGAGGGCAACAAAGCUGGUGAGGGGUCUGGAGCACAGGCCUUAUGAGGAGCGGCUGAAGGAGCUGGGAUUGUUCAGCUCAGGGGAGACCUUAUUGCUCUCUAUAACUACCUGAAGGGAGGUUGUAGUGAGCUGGGGGUCAGCCUCUUCUCUCAUGUGACUAGUGAUAGGACUAGAAGGAAGGGCUUCAAGCUGCACCAGGGAAGAUUCAGGCUGGACGUUAGGAAAUACUACUUCUCUGAAA
Molecule: long non-coding RNA, 278 nt
Filed under: Gallus gallus (chicken)
Lineage: Eukaryota; Metazoa; Chordata; Aves; Galliformes; Phasianidae
Description: lncRNA (ENSGALG00010003966.1)
Source: RNAcentral